UGGGGAAUAUUGCACAAUGGGCGCAAGCCUGAUGCAGCGACGCCGCGUGCGGGAUGGAGGCCUUCGGGUUGUAAACCGCUUUUGUUCAAGGGCAAGGCACGGUUUUUGGCCGUGUUGAGUGGAUUGUUCGAAUAAGCACCGGCUAACUACGUGCCAGCAGCCGCGGUAAUACGUAGGUGCCAGCAGCCGCGGUAAUACGUAGGUG
This 205-nucleotide ribosomal RNA is filed under the name uncultured Bifidobacterium sp. Its description in RNAcentral is "partial 16S ribosomal RNA". It matches the Rfam family "Bacterial small subunit ribosomal RNA", at positions 355 to 560 of the family's 1533-position model. Lineage: Bacteria; Bacillati; Actinomycetota; Actinomycetes; Bifidobacteriales; Bifidobacteriaceae. The record is from RNAcentral.